UACGGGGGGAGCAAGCGUUGUUCGGAUUUACUGGGCGUAAAGGGCGCGUAGGCGGUCGUGACAAGUCACUUGUGAAAUCUCCGGGCUUAACUCGGAACGGUCAAGUGAUACUGUCGGACUAGAGUACAGAAGGGGCAACUGGAAUUCUCGGUGUAGCGGUGAAAUGCGUAGAUAUCGGGAGGAACAUCAGUGGCGAAAGCGGCACCCUGGCAUUAGCCUGACGCUCAGGUGCGAAAGCGUGGGGAGCGAACGGG
This 254-nucleotide ribosomal RNA is filed under the name uncultured bacterium. RNAcentral's name for it is "partial 16S ribosomal RNA". It matches the Rfam family "Bacterial small subunit ribosomal RNA", at positions 524 to 776 of the family's 1533-position model. The record is from RNAcentral.